Molecule: transfer RNA, 72 nt
Rfam family: tRNA
About the family: Transfer RNA (tRNA) molecules are approximately 80 nucleotides in length.
Source: Rfam
GCCGACUUGGCUAAGCGGUAAGGCGUCCCACUCGUAAUGGGAAGAUGACUCGUUCGACUCGGGUAGUCGGCA